Molecule: long non-coding RNA, 2991 nt
Filed under: Lathyrus oleraceus (garden pea)
Lineage: Eukaryota; Viridiplantae; Streptophyta; Magnoliopsida; Fabales; Fabaceae
Description: Pisum sativum (pea) long non-coding RNA (PSAT_LNC040015)
Source: RNAcentral
AACACUAAUAACAAUAUCAAUCUUCUCAUUUCUUGAUAACAAUAUACAUAAUUUAGCAAAACAAGAACACUAAUAACACUAUCAAUCUUCUCAUUUCUUGAUAACAAUAUACAAAAUUUAGCAAAACAAUAACACUAAUAACACUAUCAAUCUUCUCGUUUCUUGAUAACAAUAUACAAAAUUUAGUAAAACAACAACACUAAUAACACUAUCAAUCUUCUCAUUUCUUGAUAACAAUAUACAAAAUUUAUCGAAACAAGAACACUAAAAACACUAACAAUCUUCUCAUUUCUUGAUAACAAAAUACAUAAUUUAUCAAAACGAGAACACUAAUAACACUAUCAAUAUUCUCAUUUCUUGAUAACAAUAUACAAAAUUUAUCAAAACAAGAACACUAAUAACACUAUCAAUCUUCUCAUUUCUUGAUAACAAUUUACAAAAUUUAGCAAAACAAAAACACUAAUAACCCUAUCAAUCUUCUCAUUUCUUGAUAACAAUAUACAAAAUUUAGCUAAACAAGAACACUAAUAACACAAUCAAUCUUCUCAUUUCUUGAUAACAAUAUACAAAAUUUAGCAAAACAAGAACACUAAUAACACUAUCAAUCUUCUCAUUUCUUGAUAACAAUAUACAAAAUUUAGCAAAACAAGAACACUAAUAACACUAUCAAUCUUCUCAUUUCUUGAUAACAAUAUACAAAAUUUAGCAAAACAAGAACACUAAUAACACUAUCAAUCUUCUCAUUUCUUGAUAACAAUAUACAAAAUUUAGCAAAACAAGAACACUAAUAACACUAUCAAUCUUCUCAUUUCUUGAUAACAAUAUACAAAAUUUAGCAAAACAAGAACACUAAUAACACUAUCAAUCUUCUCAUUUCUUGAUAACAAUAUACAAAAUUUAGCAAAACAAGAACACUAAUAACACUAUCAAUCUUCUCAUUUCUUGAUAACAAUAUACAAAAUUUAGCAAAACAAGAACACUAAUAACACUAUCAAUCUUCUCAUUUCUUGAUAACAAUAUACAAAAUUUAGCAAAACAAGAACACUAAUAACACUAUCAAUCUUCUCAUUUCUUGAUAACAAUAUACAAAAUUUAGCAAAACAAGAACACUAAUAACACUAUCAAUCUUCUCAUUUCUUGAUAACAAUAUACAAAAUUUAGCAAAACAAGAACACUAAUAACACUAUCAAUCUUCUCAUUUCUUGAUAACAAUAUACAAAAUUUAGCAAAACAAGAACACUAAUAACACUAUCAAUCUUCUCAUUUCUUGAUAACAAUAUACAAAAUUUAGCAAAACAAGAACACUAAUAACACUAUCAAUCUUCUCAUUUCUUGAUAACAAUAUACAAAAUUUAGCAAAACAAGAACACUAAUAACACUAUCAAUCUUCUCAUUUCUUGAUAACAAUAUACAAAAUUUAGCAAAACAAGAACACUAAUAACACUAUCAAUCUUCUCAUUUCUUGAUAACAAUAUACAAAAUUUAGCAAAACAAGAACACUAAUAACACUAUCAAUCUUCUCAUUUCUUGAUAACAAUAUACAAAAUUUAGCAAAACAAGAACACUAAUAACACUAUCAAUCUUCUCAUUUCUUGAUAACAAUAUACAAAAUUUAGCAAAACAAGAACACUAAUAACACUAUCAAUCUUCUCAUUUCUUGAUAACAAUAUACAAAAUUUAGCAAAACAAGAACACUAAUAACACUAUCAAUCUUCUCAUUUCUUGAUAACAAUAUACAAAAUUUAGCAAAACAAGAACACUAAUAACACUAUCAAUCUUCUCAUUUCUUGAUAACAAUAUACAAAAUUUAGCAAAACAAGAACACUAAUAACACUAUCAAUCUUCUCAUUUCUUGAUAUCAAUAUACAAAAUUUAGCAAAACAAGAACACUAAUAACACUAUCAAUCUGCUCAUUUCUUGAUAACAAUAUACAAAAUUUAGCAAAACAAGAACAAUAAUAACACUAUCAAUCUUCUCAUUUCUUGAUAACAAUAUACAAAAUUUAGCAAAACAAGAACACUAAUCACACUAUCAAUCUUCUAUUUCUUGAUAACAAUAUACAAAAUUUAGCAAAAUAAGAACACUAAUAACACUAUCAAUCUUCUCAUUUCUUGAUAACAAUAUACAAAAUUUAGCAAAAUAAGAACCCUAAUAACACUAUCAAUCUUCUCAUUUCUUGGCAACAAUAUACAGAUUAGUAUGCUAAGAAAAAAGAAGCAAAGGAAUAACUCACGUAAUAGAGUCCUAAAGAUGUGCGUACGAAUAUAGGAGGCAGUGGUGUGGGCUUUGAAGCCAUCAUAAAUUCAAACGAACAGUGCGUCAUGACUUACAUCGACUUGGUCGUGAUCUUCCACAUCCUUAUUUGACUGAACAGAAGCCAUUGAGAAUUCUCCAUGGCAAUGCCUUUCAUUUUUGAGAGUUUUUGCUAAAGGGUCAGCGUCAAACAUUUCUUGAUAACAAUAACACUAAUAACACUAUCAAUCUUCAAACUUCUUGAUAACAAUAUACAAAAUUUAGCAAAACAAGAACACUAUUAACACUAUCAAUCUUCUCAUUUCUUGAUAACAAUAUACAAAAUUUAGCAAAACAAGAACACUAAUAACACUAUCAAUCUUCUUUUCUUGAAUAACAAUAUACAAAAAUUUAGCCAAAACAAGAACGACUAAUAACACUAAUUCAAUCUUCUCAUUUCUUGAUAACAUAUACAAAAUUUCAUCAAAAGAAAAAACACUAAUAACACUAUCAAUCUCUCAUUUCUUGAUAACAUAUAUUUAAAAUUUAGCAAACAAGAACACUAAUACCACGAUCAAUCUUCUCGGUUUCUUAUAUACAAUUAUACAAAAUUUAGCUAAAAACAGAAACACUAUAAGCAUCUCUCUUCUGAUCAAUAACAAUUUAUCACACACUUAACAUCAUCUUCAUUUGCUUGAUAACAAUACAAAAUUAGCAAAACAAGAACACUAAUAACACUAUCAAUCUUCUCAUUUCUUG